GAUUCUUCUUCCAAAUCUGAUUCUGAUUCUGAUUCUGAUAAGAAAUCUAAUCAUUCUGGUUUGAAAUCAGACUCGGAACCAAAAUCCAGUGAGGUAAAGAAAAUACGAAAGAAAAAGAUCACAGGCUGCUCAUGUGGAGGGACUUGAUAAGCUGGAAUGUAAAAAGUCUGACUCAGAUUCAAAUUCAAAGUCAAGCGAUGAUUCUUCUUCCAAAUCUGAUUCCGGUUCUGAUUCUGAUAAGAAAUCUAAUCAUUCUGGUUUGAAAUCCGACUCGGAAUCAAAAACUAAUGAGGUAA
Molecule: long non-coding RNA, 296 nt
Organism: Ananas comosus (pineapple)
Lineage: Eukaryota; Viridiplantae; Streptophyta; Magnoliopsida; Poales; Bromeliaceae
Exons: 2
Source: RefSeq, a predicted model, not a curated record